This is a non-coding RNA of Acanthosepion pharaonis, 108 nucleotides long. The record is from the annotation of a GenBank genome assembly. NCBI's taxonomy places the organism in Eukaryota, Metazoa, Mollusca, Cephalopoda, Sepiida, Sepiidae.
UUACGGCCAUAUCACGCUGAAUCAUUGGUUUCCGUACGAUCACUGUAGUUAAGCAACGUCGAGCCUUGUCAGUACCUAGAUGGGUAACCAUUUGGGAAUACCAAGUGU